Molecule: ribosomal RNA, 253 nt
Filed under: uncultured bacterium
Lineage: Bacteria
Description: partial 16S ribosomal RNA
Rfam family: Bacterial small subunit ribosomal RNA
Source: RNAcentral
UACAGAGGUCUCAAGCGUUGUUCGGAUUCAUUGGGCGUAAAGGGUGCGCAGGCGGCCAAGUGUGUGAGGCGUGAAAGCCCGGGGCUUAACCUCGGAAUUGCACCUCAAACUACAUGGCUAGAGCAUUGGAGAGGGUAGCAGAAUUCACGGUGUAGCAGUGAAAUGCGUAGAUAUCGUGAGGAAUACCAGAGGCGAAGGCGGCUACCUGGACAAUUGCUGACGCUCAGGCACGAAAGCGUGGGGAGCAAAAGGG